GAGUAAUGUCUGGGAAACUGCCUGAUGGAGGGGGAUAACUACUGGAAACGGUGGCUAAUACCGCAUAACGUCGCAAGACCAAAGAGGGGGACCUUCGGGCCUCUUGCCAUCAGAUGUGCCCAGAUGGGAUUAGCUAGUUGGUGAGGUAAUGGCUCACCAAGGCGACGAUCCCUAGCUGGUCUGAGAGGAUGACCAGCCACACUGGAACUGAGACACGGUCCAGACUCCUACGGGAGGCAGCAGUGGGGAAUAUUGCACAAUGGGCGCAAGCCUGAUGCAGCCAUGCCGCGUGUAUGAAGAAGGCCUUCGGGUUGUAAAGUACUUUCAGCGGGGAGGAAGGUGUUGUGGUUAAUAACCGCAGCAAUUGACGUUACCCGCAGAAGAAGCACCGGCUAACUCCGUGCCAGCAGCCGCGGUAAUACGGAGGGUGCAAGCGUUAAUCGGAAUUACUGGGCGUAAAGCGCACGCAGGCGGUCUGUCAAGUCGGAUGUGAAAUCCCCGGGCUCAACCUGGGAACUGCAUUCGAAACUGGCAGGCUUGAGUCUUGUAGAGGGGGGUAGAAUUCCAGGUGUAGCGGUGAAAUGCGUAGAGAUCUGGAGGAAUACCGGUGGCGAAGGCGGCCCCCUGGACAAAGACUGACGCUCAGGUGCGAAAGCGUGGGGAGCAAACAGGAUUAGAUACCCUGGUAGUCCACGCCGUAAACGAUGUCUACUUGGAGGUUGUGCCCUUGAGGCGUGGCUUCCGGAGCUAACGCGUUAAGUAGACCGCCUGGGGAGUACGGCCGCAAGGUUAAAACUCAAAUGAAUUGACGGGGGCCCGCACAAGCGGUGGAGCAUGUGGUUUAAUUCGAUGCAACGCGAAGAACCUUACCUGGUCUUGACAUCCACAGAACUUUCCAGAGAUGGAUUGGUGCCUUCGGGAACUGUGAGACAGGUGCUGCAUGGCUGUCGUCAGCUCGUGUUGUGAAAUGUUGGGUUAAGUCCCGCAACGAGCGCAACCCUUAUCCUUUGUUGCCAGCGGUCCGGCCGGGAACUCAAAGGAGACUGCCAGUGAUAAACUGGAGGAAGGUGGGGAUGACGUCAAGUCAUCAUGGCCCUUACGACCAGGGCUACACACGUGCUACAAUGGCGCAUACAAAGAGAAGCGACCUCGCGAGAGCAAGCGGACCUCAUAAAGUGCGUCGUAGUCCGGAUUGGAGUCUGCAACUCGACUCCAUGAAGUCGGAAUCGCUAGUAAUCGUGGAUCAGAAUGCCACGGUGAAUACGUUCCCGGGCCUUGUACACACCGCCCGUCACACCAUGGGAGUGGGUUGCAAAAGAAGUAGGUAGCUUAACCUUCGGGAGGGCGCUUACCACUUUGUGAUUCAUGACUGGGGUGAAGUCGUAACAAGGUAACCGUAGGGGAACCUGCGGUUGGAUCACCUCCUUACCU
RNAcentral lists this ribosomal RNA (1431 nucleotides) under Salmonella enterica subsp. enterica serovar Newport str. SHSN001. RNAcentral describes it as "bacterial SSU rRNA". It matches the Rfam family "Bacterial small subunit ribosomal RNA". Lineage: Bacteria; Pseudomonadati; Pseudomonadota; Gammaproteobacteria; Enterobacterales; Enterobacteriaceae. The record is from RNAcentral.